This 768-nucleotide ribosomal RNA is filed under the name uncultured Acidobacteriota bacterium. RNAcentral's name for it is "bacterial SSU rRNA". It matches the Rfam family "Bacterial small subunit ribosomal RNA", at positions 8 to 796 of the family's 1533-position model. The record is from RNAcentral. Lineage: Bacteria; Pseudomonadati; Acidobacteriota.
AGAGUUUGAUCAUGGCUCAGAAUCAACGCUGGCGGCGCGCUUAACACAUGCAAGUCGAACGAGAAAGGGGAGCAAUCCCUGAGUAAAGUGGCGCACGGGUGAGUAACACGUGGGUAAUCUGCCUCUGGGUGGGGAAUAACUCUGGGAAACCGGAGCUAAUACCGCAUAAGCCCCCAUUGAAUAAAUGGACGGGAAAGGCGAAAGUCGCCGAGAGAGGAGCCCGCGGUCGAUUAGCUGGUUGGUGAGGUAAAGGCUCACCAAGGCUGUGAUCGAUAGCCGGCCUGAGAGGGCACACGGCCACACUGGCACUGAAACACGGGCCAGACUCCUACGGGAGGCAGCAGUGGGGAAUCUUGCACAAUGGGGGAAACCCUGAUGCAGCGACGCCGCGUGAGUGAUGAAGCCCUUCGGGGUGUAAAGCUCUUUCGGCAGGGACGAUAAUGACGGUACCUGAAGAAGAAGCUGCGGCUAACUACGUGCCAGCAGCCGCGGUAAUACGUAGGCAGCGAGCGUUGUUCGGAGUUACUGGGCGUAAAGAGUGCGUAGGCGGCGGCCCAAGUCUGGUGUGAAAUCUCCCGGCUUAACCGGGAGGGUGCGCCGGAAACUGGGUUGCUGGAGUGCCGGAGAGGCAGGCGGAAUUCCUGGUGUAGCGGUGAAAUGCGUAGAUAUCAGGAGGAACACCCGUGGUGUAGACGGCCUGCUGGACGGCAACUGACGCUGAGGCACGAAAGCGUGGGGAGCAAACAGGAUUAGAUACCCCUGUAGUCC